This is a long non-coding RNA of Hibiscus syriacus, 391 nucleotides long. RefSeq lists it as uncharacterized. The transcript has 2 exons. The record is from RefSeq and is a predicted model, not a curated record. Lineage: Eukaryota; Viridiplantae; Streptophyta; Magnoliopsida; Malvales; Malvaceae.
CCGAUCCAUAUUUUUAUACAAAAUUUUCUUGUUUCCCCCUCCUGAUUUUCCUUCAUUCCAAACACCAUUGCAAUUCUUACUACAUUUCCCUCUUGGAUUUAUUACGAUUUGAUAGGUGACGGGUUUCCAAAAAAAAAGUUUUAAUAAUGGAAUUAAAAAUAAAAAGGGGUUGAUUUUUCUUCCCCGGAGGCAAGCUUUCCCGGGAAAAUUUGCCUCUUUUUUUCCAGCUCUCUCUCUCUCUCUCUCAGCUUCCACGGAAACUUUCUUUUUGAUUGAUUGAACCAAGAGUACUUUAUGUAGUCGUGGGUGGAUUUACAAAGUAAUGGAAGGAAAAUUUCAUUGGGGAAUCUAAGAUUCAUGAGAGAGAGGACUUUAAUUUAUUCUCAUUGUU